This 490-nucleotide ribosomal RNA is filed under the name uncultured bacterium. RNAcentral describes it as "partial 16S ribosomal RNA". It matches the Rfam family "Bacterial small subunit ribosomal RNA", at positions 30 to 507 of the family's 1533-position model. The record is from RNAcentral.
AUUGAACGCUGGCGGCAGGCCUAACACAUGCAAGUCGAACGGUAACAGAAAGCAGCUUGCUGCUUUGCUGACGAGUGGCGGACGGGUGAGUAAAGUCUGGGAAACUGCCUGAUGGAGGGGGAUAACUACUGGAAACGGUAGCUAAUACCGCAUAACGUCGCAAGACCAAAGAGGGGGACCUUCGGGCCUCUUGCCAUCGGAUGUGCCCAGAUGGGAUUAGCUAGUAGGUGGGGUAAAGGCUCACCUAGGCGACGAUCCCUAGCUGGUCUGAGAGGAUGACCAGCCACACUGGAACUGAGACACGGUCCAGACUCCUACGGGAGGCAGCAGUGGGGAAUAUUGCACAAUGGGCGCAAGCCUGAUGCAGCCAUGCCGCGUGUAUGAAGAAGGCCUUCGGGUUGUAAAGUACUUUCAGCGGGGAGGAAGGGAGUAAAGUUAAUACCUUUGCUCAUUGACGUUACCCGCAGAAGAAGCACCGGCUAACUCCGUG